This 1048-nucleotide long non-coding RNA is filed under the name Calidris pygmaea (Spoon-billed sandpiper). RNAcentral describes it as "lncRNA (ENSCPGG00000004178.1)". The record is from RNAcentral. Lineage: Eukaryota; Metazoa; Chordata; Aves; Charadriiformes; Scolopacidae.
GCUUUCUGGGCUGCCAGCACACAUUGCCAGAUCAUGUUGAGCUUCUCAUCCACCAACACCCCCAAGUCCUUCUCCUCAGGGCUGCUCUCCAGCCAUUGAAAUGGACUGAGAAAUGAAAUUAAAUCAUCACAGAAACACAUUAACCAAAUACUUAAGUAGGUUCACUGUGAUUUUUGUCACGUAAGUCUCUCUGACUUCAGGCCCAACAGGUGCUUGGUGGUUCUUGAGGAAAGCUGAAUUUCUGGCAGUUGUUACAGGGGUUGUAGCUACUGUAGCAUUUUAAGAAAAACAGGGCUGCAGUAACUCCCACUAGUUCUGGAUGGAUAGAGAAUCCUCAAGACUUGCUUAAGUAAGAAGCAGGUGGUUGGUCGCUGGCUUGUUUUUCCUUCCAGUGUCACUAUGCUUAGUAAAAAUUCCUUCUUAUUUCUUCACAGAAUCAGUUUAAAAAAGACUACAGAGCAAGAUUCUGCCAUGGAGGAGGAACUAAGAUUGAUGUACGACCAGGUCAAAAUGUGCUGGAACUCAUAGAGAAUUGUUUCCAAAGUUGUGGUAGUGAUCUUACAAUAAAUUCUCCAAGUACGAGUCUUUAUUGCUCAACUCCUGUUGUCGGGAAAAGGAGGAUUUCAGUACAGAGCCAAAGGGUGAGUGAGUUAUGGCAGUGUCACAACAUAACAUUGGGUACAUUUUCACUUGGGUACAAGUCUAGUUCUGUAGGAUUUAUUGAAUUAAUUGAAUGAAUAAGCUCCAUAUGUCACUUGUAUUAGUAUAUAGCUAUAAUUUAACCUUCUGUUGUCAGUAAUGGUUUUUUUGUUAGUUUGUUGUGCUCUAAUAGUAAAUGUUCUAUAACUAGAUUUAUUAAAAAGCUUAUUUUCUUGGUUUGUUGGUUUUUUUUUUUUGUUUUUUUUUUUUUUUUUUUUUUUUUUUUUUUUUUUUUGGCUAAUGAAGGCUUUUUCAGCUUUUUGUCCAGGACAGUUAAAUUUCUCAUGGUCUCAGGUUGAAGCAUGCUGCCUUAUAACUGGUGGUGGGUAUGGCUGUCUUGGACUCCACU